UACGGAGAGUGCAAGCGUUGUCCGGAUUUAUUGGGUUUAAAGGGUGCGUAGGCGGCCCGUUAAGUCAGUGGUGAAAGCCUCCAGCUCAACUGGAGAACUGCCAUUGAUACUGGCGGGCUUGAGUACAGACGAGGUAGGCGGAAUUGAUUGUGUAGCGGUGAAAUGCAUAGAUACAAUCAAGAACACCGAUUGCGUAGGCAGCUUACUAGGCUGUAACUGACGCUGAGGCACGAAAGCGUGGGGAGCGAACAGG
Molecule: ribosomal RNA, 253 nt
Filed under: uncultured bacterium
Lineage: Bacteria
Description: partial 16S ribosomal RNA
Rfam family: Bacterial small subunit ribosomal RNA
Source: RNAcentral